Molecule: transfer RNA, 85 nt
Filed under: Bacteroidales bacterium
Lineage: Bacteria; Pseudomonadati; Bacteroidota; Bacteroidia; Bacteroidales
Description: tRNA-Leu
Rfam family: tRNA
About the family: Transfer RNA (tRNA) molecules are approximately 80 nucleotides in length. Their secondary structure includes four short double-helical elements and three loops (D, anti-codon, and T loops).
Source: RNAcentral
GCAUCUGUGGCGGAAUUGGUAGACGCGCCAGACUCAAAAUCUGGUGAGCUUUAAACUCGUGCCGGUUCGAUUCCGGCCAGAUGUA